AGCUAGUGGACACGCUCAACUACGAAAUAACAUCCCAAUCAGAUCCACUACCGAAGGAUCAAUCUAACUGCGAAGCAAUAUUAUACACAAAUGCAUGUGUUUUACACUCUUUUUUUUUUUUUUUUUUUUUUUUGGUGCACGUUGCUUCGCGGUUAGAUUAGUCCACUAGCCCAAUGAUGGCUUUGGUCCAACUAAUAAUUUUUUCUCUUUAUCUCUAUAAUUUUAGAAGCGACCUCUUCUUCACUCCUCUAUACCUACUCAUGACCAUCUUCCAGCUCAGCCUCUCUCUCUCUCUCUCUCUCUCUCUCUCUCUCUCUCAAACAUGAAUGUCAUCCGAGAGCCGUUUCCCUGAGCCUAACAAGAUUUCUAUUUCCUAUUGCUUUCACUGGCCGGAAACUAUACAUCAUGCAACAUCCUGGAGUCUUUCUUUUUCUUUUUCUUCUUCUUCUUCUUCUUCUUCUUGAGAACAAAAAUCUGGAGUUUCUAUUUAGAUGCUUCAGCAUUAAAUUUUUUUUUUACACCAUUGUGUUUGUCCAAUGAAUCCUCAAAAUAUGACCGCUCUAGUAAAUCGUUAUCUAAAGAAGUCACAAAGUGUUGAAGAAUUCUAGAGGGAGAUGACCAUGCGCUAUAAAAUGGAAUUUUUCAUGUUUUAGGUUUUUUUAAAAUUGACAAACCACAUCAAUGACCCGCCCAUAAAUAUGAUGAAAUAACAAUUACUGUUUUUGUAGAACCAUUUGGAGUUGAAAGAUAAGCUUGGUUGUUGCACAUAUCUACAGGUGCCGGUCUUCUCAAUCAAUCCUCUUUUUAUGAUGAUAAAAGUGGUUCUUUUUCCUCUAAAAUCAUCAUAUAUCCCUGUUUUUAUUUUGUUUUAUUUUUGUUUAAUUUUAUCAGUCUAGCCAAUUAUAUGAUUACUGACCUUCUACAUUUUUCUCUAUAUGACUGGCUAAUGGUUUCUUGCAGUGAAAAAAUGGUAUUGUGAUUAAGAAGCAGUCUUGGUAAGACAUAUCCCAUAGGAUUAAGCUCUGGUGAGUGCUUGCAUACUUCAAUUUUCCUUCUUUUUCUGAGCAACAAGGCAUUAUGAAUUGCACUGUUCCUACUACUCUUUCUCUCUGAUUCUCGGCUAUUUGGGUAACUAGGUUGUAACAAUUUUGACCGUUAAUUUUCUUUUUUUAAUGAAAAAAUUUAAGUUACCGAGGACUGUUUAAGCCUGAAGAAUUAAGUCUAAAAUCUUGCAACCAGUAACUGUUUUAUGAUUUAAUCACAUACCGUAGCGCAACAGAUGACUAUUCUUUUUUUCAUGACUAUAUUGAUGAAAAUUACAGAGCACUCACAUAAUAAAAAAAUGAAUUGCUUAAUCCACUAGUUGGUGCAUUUUCAUCAAUAUAAUAAAUAUCAGCCAUUUACCGAUAUUAUCAAGUUAUUUAUAUGUGUGCAAAAUUUAAGGUCAUUAACUUAUAUCUGAUUUUAAUGAAAAGGAUCAUUAACAUUUAAUAUGAGGUUGGCAUUUAUAAACAUGAUUAUGUUACUAGCUGCUAAGUUCUCAGUUGGCCAGCAAUUGGAGGCCAAUAGCUCAAGCUUCAAAUAGGCAGGUUACAGCAAAUUUUGUAUAGGCUAGUUGAAUAGCAUCCUGGCAGAGAGAACUUAGAUUUUCAUAUGACUCAAAUGCAUAAUUUAAAUGACCCAGCUAGCUUGGUGCUUCAACAGGGUCUUUUGUUCCUCCACUAUACUUUCUCGAGGGUGGAGAUAAACUGAAGCAAUCGUAUCACUGUUUAUAACAUUUUAGAACUCAAGGAUUUUUGUCAUCACAAAAAAGAAAAGGAUUGUUGAACCUUAAAGGUGGAUUUUGAUAAUGCAAAAUAGCUAAGUCAAAAGUUGACUAAUCUAUUUGCUUUGACUUUAAAUGAUAAAUUUCAGGAAGCAAAGAUGAAACUCUUCAACUACUCUCAAAAUGAUUAUCCAUCUGAAGCUCUACAUCAAAAGCAAACUCCAAAAGGCCAUGAAUACAUUCCUUGGAUACAAGCACAAAAGAUUUCAUCCUGAGCUACCUCAAAAGUCGACCCCGAAACAUUGUCGCUGACUCAUGCACCUUGAUAAGCCGACUCUAACAGAUUACAAGUCGACUCUAGAACAAUCUCACAGAACAGGCAAAAAACCAAGAAAUUCAUCUCAUUGACGAGUCGACCUAUGAAGUACUCGAACCGACUCCAGUAUAGCAUGAGCCGACCACAGAUAAAAGCUAGUUGACCUCAGAAUGACUAUAAAAAAAAAAGAUAGAUAGCUGAUGAAAUCACUGAUUGGCGAAUCAACCCGUGGAAUUCACGAGCUGACUCUAGUAAAACUAGAAUCGACCCUAGAAAUAGUCGAGUCGACCUCAGAACGGCCACAAUGGAAGGACAGAAAGUAGCAAAAAAUAGUUCGUCAAAGAAUCGACCCCUGAAAUCAACGAGUCGACUCUUUGAAACCUUGAGUCGACCUCUGAACUAAGAAAGCAACUCCACAAGCUCUAUAGAUGAAAGAUAGAGUGCAACAGAAACAGAAGCAAGCUCGGGCUAACUCCUAAAGAUCACAAGUCUACUCUUCAAAAUCUCGAGUCGACCCUCGAAAAUGGUAUGGGAUGCUGAUGAUUAAAGACAGAUCGGAAUGCAGGUACAAUGGCUCAGUUGUUUGACGAAGGCCAAGAAGAGUGUUCUGCCAUCUUUCUAAGGACCUACUUGGUUGCUGCCCUUGCACUUGCAGCUUGGUCAACAUCUUUCAUGUCUAUCCCAAAAUUUUAGAUUAUGUAUUGUCAACGA
Phoenix dactylifera (date palm) is the source of this 2792-nucleotide non-coding RNA. The record is from RefSeq and is a predicted model, not a curated record. Lineage: Eukaryota; Viridiplantae; Streptophyta; Magnoliopsida; Arecales; Arecaceae.